Molecule: ribosomal RNA, 440 nt
Filed under: Halosarpheia fibrosa
Lineage: Eukaryota; Fungi; Ascomycota; Sordariomycetes; Microascales; Halosphaeriaceae
Description: partial small subunit ribosomal RNA
Source: RNAcentral
GCACUUUGAUUUCUCGUAAGGUGCCGAACGAGUCAAUAAAUAACAUCGUCCGAUCCCUAGUCGGCAUAGUUUAUAGUUAAGACUACGACGGUAUGUGAUCGUCUUCGAUCCCCUAACUUUCGUUCCUUAUCAAUGAAAACAUCCUUGGCAAAUGCUUUCGCAGUAGUUAGUCUUCAAUAGAUCCAAGAAUUUCACCUCUGACAAUUGAAUACUGAUGCCCCCGACUGUCCCUAUUAAUCAUUACGGCGGUCCUAGAAACCAACAAAAUAGAACCACACGUCCUAUUCCAUUAUUCCAUGCUAAUGUAUUCGAGCAUAGGCCUGCCUGGAGCACUCUAAUUUUUUCAAAGUAAAAGUCCUAUUUCCCCACCACGACCAGUAAAGGCCAUGGGGUUCCAUAGAGGGAAAGACCCGGCCGGAUCAGUGCACCCGGUGAGGGGG